CCUACGGGUGGCAGCAGUGGGGAAUAGUGGGCAAUGGGCGAAAGCCUGACCCAGCAACGCCGCGUGAAGGAAGACGGCUUUCGGGUUGGAAACUUCUUUUGACAGGAAAGAGAAGAAGACGGUACGUGUCGAAUAAGCCACGGCUAACUACGUGCCAGCAGCCGCGGUAAUACGUAGGUUGCAAGCGUUGUCCGGAUUUACUGGGUUAAAAGGGCGUGUAGCCGGGCUGACAAGUCAGAUGUGAAAUACGCGGGCUUAACACCAGAACUGCAUUUGAAAAUGUUGGUCUUGAGUGUCGGAGAGGCAGGCGGAAUUCCUAGUGUAGCGGUGAAAUGCGUAGAGAUUAGGAAGAACACCAAUUGCGAAGGCAGCCUAC
Molecule: ribosomal RNA, 376 nt
Filed under: uncultured bacterium
Lineage: Bacteria
Description: partial 16S ribosomal RNA
Rfam family: Bacterial small subunit ribosomal RNA
Source: RNAcentral